CACUGGAACUGAGACACGGUCCAGACUCCUACGGGAGGCAGCAGUAGGGAAUCUUCCGCAAUGGGCGAAAGCCUGACGGAGCAACGCCGCGUGAGUGAUGAAGGUCUUCGGAUCGUAAAACUCUGUUAUUAGGGAAGAACAUAUGUGUAAGUAACUGUGCACAUCUUGACGGUACCUAAUCAGAAAGCCACGGCUAACUACGUGCCAGCAGCCGCGGUAAUACGUAGGUGGCAAGCGUUAUCCGGAAUUAUUGGGCGUAAAGCGCGCGUAGGCGGUUUUUUAAGUCUGAUGUGAAAGCCCACGGCUCAACCGUGGAGGGUCAUUGGAAACUGGAAAACUUGAGUGCAGAAGAGGAAAGUGGAAUUCCAUGUGUAGCGGUGAAAUGCGCAGAGAUAUGGAGGAACACCAGUGGCGAAGGCGACUUUCUGGUCUGUAACUGACGCUGAUGUGCGAAAGCGUGGGGAUCAAACAGGAUUAGAUACCCUGGUAGUCCACGCCGUAAACGAUGAGURMURAGUGUUAGGGGGUUUCCGCCCCUUAGUGCUGCAGCUAACGC
RNAcentral lists this ribosomal RNA (556 nucleotides) under uncultured bacterium. Its description in RNAcentral is "bacterial SSU rRNA". It matches the Rfam family "Bacterial small subunit ribosomal RNA", at positions 311 to 858 of the family's 1533-position model. The record is from RNAcentral.